GAUCAGCCACACCGGGAGUGANACACGGCCCGGACUCCUACGGGAGGCAGCAGUGGGGAAUCUUGGACAANGGGGGCAACCCUGAUCCAGCCAUNCCGCGUGUGUGAAGAAGGCCUUCGGGUUGUAAAGCACUUUCAGCAGGGAGGAAGGCUUACUCUUAAUACGGGUGAGUACUUGACGUUACCUGCAGAAGAAGCACCGGCUAAUU
Molecule: ribosomal RNA, 208 nt
Filed under: Alcanivorax sp. SCB54
Lineage: Bacteria; Pseudomonadati; Pseudomonadota; Gammaproteobacteria; Oceanospirillales; Alcanivoracaceae
Description: partial 16S ribosomal RNA
Rfam family: Bacterial small subunit ribosomal RNA
Source: RNAcentral